AGAGCGAACGCUGGCGGCAGGCUUAACACAUGCAAGUCGAACGGGCAUAGCAAUAUGUCAGUGGCAGACGGGUGAGUAACGCGUGGGAACAUACCUCUUGGUUCGGAACAACACAGGGAAACUUGUGCUAAUACCGGAUAAGCCCUUACGGGGAAAGAUUUAUCGCCGAGAGAUUGGCCCGCGUCUGAUUAGCUAGUUGGUGUGGUAAAGGCGCACCAAGGCGACGAUCAGUAGCUGGUCUGAGAGGAUGAUCAGCCACAUUGGGACUGAGACACGGCCCAAACUCCUACGGGAGCAGCAGUGGGGAAUAUGGACAAUGGGCGCAAGCCUGAUCCAGCCAUGCCGCGUGAGUGAUGAAGGCCGUUAGGGUUGGUAAAAGCUCGUUUUGUACGGAAGAUAAUGAACGGUACCGUAAAGAAUAAACGCCCCGGACUUAACCUUCGGUGCCCGAAGCAGACCCGUA
RNAcentral lists this ribosomal RNA (463 nucleotides) under uncultured soil bacterium. RNAcentral's name for it is "bacterial SSU rRNA". It matches the Rfam family "Bacterial small subunit ribosomal RNA", at positions 26 to 522 of the family's 1533-position model. The record is from RNAcentral.